UACGAAGGGGGCUAGCGUUGUUCGGAAUCACUGGGCGUAAAGCGCACGCAGGCGGGUCUUUAAGUCAGGGGGGAAAUCCUGGAGCUCAACUCCAGAACUGCCUUUGAUACUGAAGAUCUUGAGUUCGGGAGAGGUGAGUGGAACUGCGAGUGUAGAGGUGAAAUUCGUAGAUAUUCGCAAGAACACCAGUGGCGAAGGCGGCUCACUGGCCCGAUACUGACGCUGAGGCACGAAAGCGUGGGGAGCAAACAGG
RNAcentral lists this ribosomal RNA (253 nucleotides) under uncultured bacterium. Its description in RNAcentral is "partial 16S ribosomal RNA". It matches the Rfam family "Bacterial small subunit ribosomal RNA", at positions 524 to 776 of the family's 1533-position model. The record is from RNAcentral.